RNAcentral lists this ribosomal RNA (208 nucleotides) under uncultured bacterium. RNAcentral's name for it is "partial 16S ribosomal RNA". It matches the Rfam family "Bacterial small subunit ribosomal RNA", at positions 568 to 774 of the family's 1533-position model. The record is from RNAcentral.
CGCGUAGGCGGCCACCGCAAGUCAGUUGUGAAAUCUCUGGGCUUAACCCAGAAAGGUCAACUGAUACUGCGGGGCUAGAGUGCAGAAGGGGCAACUGGAAUUCUCGGUGUAGCGGUGAAAUGCGUAGAUAUCGAGAGGAACACCUGCGGCGAAGGCGGGUUGCUGGGCUGACACUGACGCUGAAGCGCGAAAGCUAGGGGAGCGAACG